This 1435-nucleotide ribosomal RNA is filed under the name Neottialges vitzthumi. RNAcentral's name for it is "eukaryotic LSU rRNA". It matches the Rfam family "Eukaryotic large subunit ribosomal RNA", at positions 73 to 1269 of the family's 3401-position model. The record is from RNAcentral. Lineage: Eukaryota; Metazoa; Arthropoda; Arachnida; Sarcoptiformes; Hypoderatidae.
GAUUUCCUUAGUAACGGCGAGUGAAAAGGAAAGAGUCCAUCGCCAAGUCCCGACACUUGACGUGUUCGGGAGAUGCGGCGUUAGUGUAUUAGUGCAUCGCACGUUGUCUUUAACUUUAAGUUUCUUUGACAGGAACUCCCAAAGUGGGUGCUAGGCCCAUAAAAGAUUAAGACAGACGUGUGCAGACUAAUGCAUUUUAGAGUCAGGUUGCUUGAAAGUGCAGCCUAAAGUAGGUGGUAAACUCCAUCUAAGACUAAAUAUGACAGUGAGACCGAUAGCAAACAAGUACCGUGAGGGAAAGUUGCAAAGAACUUUGAAGAGAGAGUUCAAUAGGACGUGAAACCACUGGGAGGUAAACGGGUGGAACUACGAAGUAUGCUCUCAAGUCGAUUCAAUCAUUGUUGCUARUUGACAGUGUCUGAUUUGGGUCUUUUUGGAGGCUGUUUGGAUACUGUUGAUGAUUAGUAACAAUGGUGCAUUUCGUACUUGAGAUGCUAAAGCCACGUCCGACUAGGUGACUGGAACGGUUGUAGAAUAGAUCCAAAUAAGGUAUCCACUAAAUGCUUGCAUUUGGUGGUGUUAUAGAUUUGGAUCGGURCCGUUGCCGAGUGUGCUGGUCGGUGCAAUUUCUCUUGAUGAGUGUUGCAAGCAAAGACCAUGUGUGUUUGUGACAGUAAAUUUGUGUGAAUCGAUUGACCUUUUUGUGUCUUGCGGCAUAGAAAGACAGUUUUUUGAUGCGGAUUUAUUGUUACCUACAUGAUGUGGUUGAGCAAACUGUGGUGCGAGUAGGUCGGUCUCCACCCGACCCGUCUUGAAACACGGACCAAGGAGCCUAACAUAUACGCAAGUCGCUCGGUCUUGUUUAGGCCAGAGAGGCGCAAUGAAAGUAACGCUAUGAGAUUAGUUAUCUAAUUGCAAUAGCAGCCCGCCUACUUUCUUUAUUGGGAAUAUGGCGGAGCGGGAGCGUAUACGUUGGUACCCGAAAGAUGGUGAACUAUGCCUGGGCAAGACGAAGCCAGAGGAAACUCUGGUGGAGGUCUGUAGCGAUUCUGACGUGCAAAUCGAUCGUCAGACCUGGGUAUAGGGGCGAAAGACUAAUCGAACCAUCUAGUAGCUGGUUCCCUCCGAAGUUUCCCUCAGGAUAGCAGGCGUUUAGAAAUUCAGUUUCAUCCGGUAAAGCUAAUGAUUAGAGGUCUUGGGGCCGAAACGGCCUCAACCUAUUCUCAAACUUUAAAUGGGUGAGAUGCUUGACUUGCUUGAUUGAAGCCAAGCAAUUGAAUGUAAGUGCCUAGUGGGCCAUUUUUGGUAAGCAGAACUGGCGCUGUGGGAUGAACCAAACGUCGAGUUAAGGUAUCAAAUGCAUACGCUCAUGAGACCCCAUAAAAGGUGUUGGUUGCUAUAGACAGCAGGACGGUGGCCAUGGAAGUCGGAAUCC